CCGGCGGGGCACACAGCAGGUGCUCAGAAGUCACUGCCAGUGGCGAUGGGGGUGGGGUCCCCUCUGCGCGGCUACAUGCAGCCUCCCUGACCCCGCUCCUGCCACAGGGACAGCAGCAGACCCCGCGUGAUUCUCAAAGAAGGCGCCGUUUCUGGAAUUCUCGAUCUCUUUUUCCCUUUCAGCCCCGAUCCGUUUCUUUAUUCACUUCAGCGGCUUUCCGUGCUCUGGUGGAACGAGGGAGGGCCAAGGUCUCGGCGCCCUCUGCUCCGGCUUUUAUCUGCCUGAUUUCAGGCGGCUGGAGCCCCGGCCCCGACUCAGCUGGAGAAAUGUCGAAACCAUAUUAAAUCACAGGACACAGGCAGGUGACAGGGCAACACCUGCCUUUUGACCGGCCCCCUGGCCCUGAGCCCGCAGCAGGGAGAGGUCGCUGUGCUCUGAGGCCCGGCUCGUUGGAUCCUCGCUUCCCUGUAAUCACGAUCUCGGACUUGGAAGCAGUCUUCUCGAGGUGAGAGCUGACGGUGACCAGGCGCAGGAGCUUUGUGGCAGGACAGCCCCCGGUGGGGAGUGCCCAGCUGAGCCGAUACAUCGCAGGGGCUGCUGGGCUGGUUUCUCUUCUCCUUUUAGUUUUUAUUAGUUUUUUUUUUUAAUAUAAAAGUGAUACCAGCUCACUCUGACAGCCCGAGUCGUGUGGGAGCGUGUAAGGAUCUUACGUGUCCUGUCCCCUUGCUGGAACACCGCUUCCCAGGGGAAACACUGCAAAUAUGGAUCGCAGUGAGCUUGCUGGAUGGUUUGCUAAGACCCUUUGAAUUCACUGCUCCUGCAACCCAAUCACCAGCCCCGUGGGGCAGAAUUUGUGCCCCCCCCCCACUUUUUCUAAGUUUAUUUAUUUUGAGAGAGAGAGAGACAGAGAGGGAACACACGCGAGUGGGGGAGGGGCAGAGAGAGAGGGAGACAGAAUCCCAGGCAGGCUCUGCACCGUCAGCACAGAGCCCGAUGUGGAGCUCGAACCCACCAACUAUGAGAUCGUGACCUGAGCCACAGUCAAGGGCCGGACACUGAACUGACCGAGCCACCCAGGCGCCCCUGCCACUCUUCCUUUUUAAGGACAGUUAAGGGGCUCAGAAUCACAGGGUGACCUCCAAGGCCACUCAGCUGGUUUCAAAGCAGGGGUUGCACCCACAACUCUGUGGCUCCAAGGGCAUGCCCUUCCCACUCGCCCCGCCCUGACUGUUAAUGGUUUGGCAUAAAUAUGUAUUUCCUAAGUGUAUAAAAACCCGUCUUUCUUUUAUGAACAUGGGAUCAGACUCGACGCAUCAUUUUGCAGCUCGCUUUUUAAUUUGAGGGUAUUUUCCUGCGUGGCCCUGUGCCCCCACCGUCCUUUGUCGGAGCCCCCCACAUUUAUUUAGCUGGUCCUUUUCAGGCAAAUGUUGAGGUUGGGUUUUCUAUUAUUGGCUACAAGUGCUGUAUGCAUACCUCCUCUUUGUCAGAUAGUUGAAUGAUUUAGAUAAAAACUUCCCCGGGCUACCCUGUUCUGCAGUCACCUCCACAUUUUCAGUCCCCUCUCCAUAGUAACCGCUCUUAUCAGGGUGGCAUAUAAUCCGUACAGACCUAUUUCUAUGCAUUUGUAUGCAUGCAUAUGCAUGUGCUUUUGCUAUGGGUGUUUUUCUUAAAAAAAAAAAAAGCAUGCGAGGUAUCACGCAAUAUUCAUUUUUGUGCGUUUGGCUUUUUCCCCCUCUAGCGACAACCCGGACAUCUUUCUACGUUGGUACAUAUAGAGCUUCCUCAUCCUUUUUAAUGAGGCUAUGUGUCAUGUUCCAUGGCGCAGAUGCAUCAUCUUUUUUUAAAACCAUUUCCCUAUUGAUAGAUACAUGGGUUCCUUCCAUUUCCCCCCGACUGUAAUAAACAUCCUUGUGCACGCCUCAGCCUAUGCACGUGGGAGCAGGGCUCUAGUACAGAUACCCGGGUGUAGAAUUGCUGGGUUGAGGGGGUUGUCAGGCUGGGUCUUGUCUGAGGCCACAGGAGGCUGGGGGAAGACACGGAUUGGGGGACUCCGGGGUGGUGGGGGGAGGCUGUCUGCUGCCGCGGCGUGAGGUGACGUGGUGGGGGACCCGCUCGCUGGGGCCGUGUUCUCGGGUGGCUCCUGGGGGCACUGCCGGCUCCAAGAAAUUCUGCGGUCUAUGCGGCUCCCUGGACAGCACCGUGGGAACAGCCCUGCGGGUCCCACUCCCUCUUUUCCUCCUUGUACUCACUUGAGGGGGGUGGGGGUGGGCUGGCCGGCCCGGACUGACCAGUUACUUUGGUGGCUUUAGUCCAUUUCCUACUAGUUAGUUCUAGGGAAGUUCUAGGGAAGGGAUAAGGUACCAAAAGUUACCUGGACGGGCAUCAGGCAGGCCCCGGCCCUCCGGGAGCUGCGGCAGCGUGGGGACAUGAACUUCUGCCAUCUGACUGGGGCUGUGACAGGGGGAAGUACAGGAUGCUCUGGGGACACCAGGGUGCUUCCGAUGGAGCAGGUGGUGGAGGGGAGCGGUCAGGAGGGUCCUGUUGGAAGGGUUAGCCGAGCGGGUCUUAAAGAACGCGUGCGUGUACAUAUUCAAACGUCUGUGUGUUCAUGUGUUUGUGCGCUGGUGAUUUACGGUUGGUUGGUUCGUUUUUCAGCCGGUCACCAGUCUCCCCCCUUCUUCUGGUAACGAACGGUACAGUCUCCGCGUUUUUGUUCCCCGUCCGGUUCCUUCUGCAGCCCCGCCCUUUCCCACUGCGAGCACAGGAACGGACAUGUGGCCCCGGCCGGCCAAUCAGAGCGCUGCAUCCGUGAGCCCCAGAAACCGGUUGGGCUCUAGCCAAUCAAAGCCUUCCCUGGGAUUUUUCUGCUGGAGUUGGUGGGAGAAACUCCUUCUUGCUUUCCCAGGAGGUGUGGAGCUCGAGGUGGAGGCUUGGGGUCACCUUCCUGGCUUCAUGGGGCGAGCCCAGGUGUAGUGGAGGAAACUGAAGCCAUUUUUGCAGAAAGAAGCAGAGACGGAAAUGAAAGGUGAUGGAGAGAGAAAGCACUGAGGUUCUGUUUCUGGCUGUUCUGCUCCUGAGCUGCUUCUCGAUCCCUGGGGCCAAACAUCCUUCUUCUAAAAGAUCUCAGGGGCUGGAUUUGGGUCUGUUCCUGUGGCCCAGAGCCCUGACCAAUGUUGGGGGCGGGGGGGGGGGGGGGGAGGCUCACGAGGUUAUGAGGGCUCCAAACGGGCAGAAAGCAGGUGGGAUGGGUAUGAGGCUCUUUUUCUAUCCUCUGUCCAUUCUGUCCUGGAAAACCCAAGUCAACAGUGAAAUUCUCUUUCUUAAAACACUUCAAUGGCUCCCCAUUUUCUUUAGGAUCAGGCCCCAAACUCCUUAGCCUUUUGCCCUGGGCUCUGCAGGGUCACCUCUCACUGACCACAAAUUAGGUUCCAGUCGUACCAGACUUCUUGAUCUUCAGGCACAGGCCAUUCUCUCUCCUCCAAGCCUUUGUACACGCUGUUUCCUCGGCCUGGAAUACCCUUCCUUUGUUUUUCUACCUUACCUUCACCCUGAUUCUUUACCAGGAUGGCUCCGACUCCCCUUCGGGUUUGGAAGUAAAUACCUCUUCCUCCAGGAAGGCUGCCUGCUCCCCUGCUCUGAGCUCCCACAGCACGACAUUAUCCAACUCUACAGUGAACGCCGGGCUCUAUGAAAGUGAGUAGAUGUCCAUCUUAUGCAUUCCUGCUCUCGUGCACACCAGGUUCCAGCAUAUUGUUAAUACCUAGGCGGGGAAUUCAUCAACACGCGUGUCCUAGUUCAAGAGGCACAGGGUAUGGUAUAAGCAGCUCGAGUCUGGAAAAAGACAGGCCUGGGCUGUGAUCCUGCCUGCACUUGGCUGUCCCUUAGCAAAUUACAUCAUCUUUCUGAGCAUCCGUUUCCUAAAGUGCAGAUGGCAAUAUUCUUGCCCACCUGGUGGCUAUUGUGAGGAAAACAGUGGAGGUGGCAGGGUUUGGAGACCUCAAAGGCAUUAUGCCAACCAUAAACUUUAUUGUUUAUUUACUUAUUUAUUAUUUUUAGUGUUUAUUUAUUUUUGACGGAGACAGAGCGCGAUCGGGGAAAGGGCAGAGAGAGAGGGAGACAGAGAAUCCGAAGCGGGCUUUGGGCUCCGAGCUGUCAGCGCAGAGCCCGACGCGGGGCUCGAACCCACGAACUGUGAGAUCGUGACCUGAGCUAAAGUCGGACGCCCAACCGACUGAGCUGCCCAGGCGCCUCUCAUAAGCUUUAUUAUUUAAAAACAAAAUUUUUUUUAAUGUUUAUUUAUUUUUGACGGAGAGAGAGACAGAGUGUGAGAGGGGGAGGGGCAGAGAGAGAGGGAGACACAGAAUCCAAAGCAGGCUCCUGGCUCUGAGUUGUCAGCAUGGAGCCCAAUGCGGGGCUUGAACCCGCGGACCACGAGAUCAUGACCUGAGCUGAAGUUGGUCACUUAACCGGCUGAGCCACCCAGGCGCCCCCUAUGAGCUUUAUUUUUAAAGCAACAGGUCAAUGAGAAUCAAUAAACAGAAAUCGUCUUGGAAAAUUUGUUGGUCUCUUCUCCCCCUCAGGGUGAAAACAGGAAACACCUGAGCUAUAGGGGACGGUGGGAGGGGGGCGGGGAAGAAAGUCAUGUACACUGAGGGCUACAAAGUGCCAAAAUCUGUAUUAAAGGAGCUGAGUAUAUUAAUUUUCUGCAGAAAGGGCUUCAAUGACUUUCAUUCGAUUUAUUGAUAGGUAUUUUAUAGUUUUUUUCCUACUGUGCAUGGUAUCAUGUUUCUUUCACUGAAGCAUAGACGCGUAAUUAGCGUUAUAUAUUGAUUCUGUAUCCAGGAAACUUGUUGCGUUUCUUUAUUUUGUAUUGAGGCAUAAUUGACAAAUAAAACAGUAAGAUAUUUAUUUAAAGUGUUCAACGUGAUGAUUUGAUAUAGGUGUCAACUUCUUUAUUCACUCUAUUUAUUUAUCUUUCUGACUGUCCACAUAGACUAAUCACAUCAUCUGCAGAUAGUGACAGUUUUGUUUCUUCCUCUCACCUUUUUCUUUUUCUUUCUAACCUUCCUGGCAGUGGUGAUGGCGGGUACUCUUCUCUUAUUCCUGAUUUAAUUUAAUUAAAUUAAAUUAAUUAAUUAAUUUAUUUAUUUAUUUAAUUUUUUUUAUGUUUAUUUAUUUUUGAGACAGAGAGAGACAGAGCAUGAACAGGGGAGGGGCAGAGAGAGAGGGAGACACAGAAUCUGAAACAGGCUCCAGGCUCUGAGCUGUCAGCACGGAGCCCGACGCGGGGCUCGAACUCAUGGACCGCGAGACUGUGACCUGAGCCGAAGUCGGACGCUUAACCGACCGAGCCACCCAGGCGCCCCACUUAUUCCUGAUUUUAGAGGGAGAGCUGUUUCCACCGAGCCAUCAUGUAUGGUGUCUGUGCUAGAUUUUUCCAAAAUGUUCUUUAUCCUGCUAAAAAAGUCGACUUUAUUCUUAGUUUGCUAGGAGUUUACCCUUGAAAAGAUACCGGAUUUUAUUUACAUCUGCUGAGAUAUGCAUGUGGUUUGUCUCUUUUAACCUUUCAAUGUGAUGAUUUUACAUCCAUUAAUUUUCUAAUAUUUAACCAACCUUGAAUUCCUGAAGUAACUGCAACUUGGUCACGAUAUGUUUAUUGUUCAUACAUUGCUGGAUUUCAUGGGCAAAUCUUACGUUUCCGAAGUUUACAUUUUUGUUCUUUUGUGGUUUUUUGGUUUUCACUUUUUUUUUUUUGGUAAUCUUGUUCUUGCGGGAAUUCGGUUUGUAAAUUUUCAUUCUCAUAUUGUUCUUCUCUGGGAAAAUGGAAACGUUUUUGAAAGAUUAGAUUGAUCUCUGUCUGGAAUGUUUGAGAAAGCAUGUGACAAAACCAUCUGGGUCAAACGUCUUCGUGGGAGGUUUCUACUUCUAAUCCAGCUUCCUUAAUUCGGUCAUCACAUUAUACAAUUAUGCAGGUUUUAAAAUGUCUUUCUGAGUCGGUUUUUGUAACUCGUGUUUUUAUGGGGCUGUGUCUGUGUCAUCUGUUUUCAAAGUUAUGGUCGUAAAGUUGUCCUGAUAGUCUCCUCUGUAUCGAUCUAUUUAACCCCUGUGGCUUCUAUGAUCUGGUCUCUUUCCCAUGGUUAACGCUGUGUGUUUGUGUCUUCCGUUCAUUAUUUUCUUUUCUUGUUUCAACCGUGCCAGGGCCGACUCUUUUUUUUUUAAUCUUUUUAAAGAACCGACUCUCGGCAUUGCGACUCCUGUCUCUAGUAUGUUUGCCUUACCCACUCUGUGCUCUGGCGCCCCCAUCUGUAAAAAGAGGGAUGACAGCAGUAUGCAUCGAGCGUGCUUUUUGGGAAGGUUACUUGAGCUAAUUCACGCUAGAAUUGUGCUCAGCACAUAGUAGGUGCUCACUAAAUGUUUGAUUUCAUUUCUGCUUUUGUCAAGAAUUUUCGCACAUUCUUAUUUCCUUCCCCACCUUCCUUUAGGUUUUUUUCUAUUGUUCUUUUCCUAACGGCUCGUUUUGAAUGCUUGGCUCGGUUUGGAAUGCUUUUCUUUUCCGUAAGCGUUUUAACACUACGAUCUUCCGAAGGGCGCUUUUAGGGUGCCCAAUACGUUUUAGUAUGUUGUAGUGUCUCUGUUCUUUUUCUUGAGAAUUUUCAUGAUUAUUUCUACCUUAGUUCUGAAUUGUUGGGAGACAGGUUUUAACUUCUACACACAGGGGCAUCUUUUUCUAGUUACUUCUUUUGUUACUACUUCCUAAGCUAAUUGCUUUGCCCUCUGAGACCGCGUCCCGAUCCUCUGAAAUUUGUGGAGCUUCCUUUGUGUUCUGGCACAAGCUCCAGGCUUCGGUCUAUAGGAUCUGUUCUCCUAGCGGUUUUCUGCGUGCUUUCAGAUGCCUACUCCGUUUAGCGAGUUGUAAAGUUAAUCGGUAUUUUAACACCGCUCCCAAAUAAUACGAGAAGCCUAGAAUGCUCUGAUCGCCACUCACCUGGGGUUCUUUUCUGGUAUUUUUCCCCCCUCUCUUGUUAAUUUCUAACCUCUGAAGAUUAGAUUAGAUUUUGCUGUUGAAAUGUGUUCUCUCACACAUUUAAUGUUAGUUCCGGCUUUCUGGGUGAUAAUCAGGACAUCAUCAUUCCGUUUUGUCUCUCAGUCCUUAUGUGGCGACUCGGUUCCCUUCCUAACCGCACAUCCUUUAGAGUAGAAUAACCUCUUGCCUGAAAAGGGCUUGCUUCAGAAUUUAUCUCCUGCUGGGGGUACUCUUUGUUUUUGUUUGUCUGGAAAUGUCUUUAUUUUGCCCUUUUUGAAAGAUGGAUUUGCUAGCCUUUCUAAGUCGACAGUUAGUUUUUCUUGGCACAAUGGAGAUCGUAUCUCACUGUCUUCUCCUGGCCUCUACCGUUACUGCUGAGAAAUUACCCAUCCUUACUUUAUAGGCACCUGUCUUUCUUCUGGCUAUUUUAUUAUUUUUUUUUUUAAUUUUUUUUUUCAACGUUUAUUUUAUUUUUGGGACAGAGAGAGACAGAGCAUGAACGGGGGAGGGGCAGAGAGAGAGGGAGACACAGAAUCGGAAACAGGCUCCAGGCUCUGAGCCAUCAGCCCAGAGCCCGACGCGGGGCUCGAACUCACGGACCGCGAGAUCGUGACCUGGCUGAAGUCGGACGCUUAACCGACUGCGCCACCCAGGCGCCCCUCUUCUGGCUAUUUUAAAAAAAUGUUUGUUUUUGAGAGAGAGAGAGGGAGGAGGGGCAGAGAGAGAGAGAGAGAGAGAGCGGGGCAGAGGAUCCGAGGCGUGCUCUGUGCUGAGAGCAGCAAGCCCAACGCGGGGCUCGAACCCACGAACUGUGAGACUGUAACCUGAGCCAAGAUCGGACGCCCAGCCUGCUGAGCCGCCCAGGUGCCCCCAGGCAGGGCUAUUUUUAACAUUCUCUUUCUCUUUCUUUCUCUGGGAUCUGGGAGUUUUACCACAUAUAUUUCAGUGUGACUAUUUUAAAAUUUAUCUCAUUUAAUGUUUUGGGGACGAAAUUGCUGUCUUCCAACAAUUCUGGAUAAUUGUCUUCGAGCAGUCAUUCACUGUCAUUGUCUUUCAGCCUCUCCUUAUUGUCCCCCUUAUUGUGUUCUUGUGCCGCAUUCUUUCAGCUCACUGAUACUCUUUUCACUUGUUUUUUUUUUUUUAAUUUAUUUAUUUAUUUUCAGAGAGAGAGAGAGCGCCCGCGUGCAUAAGUGGGUGAGGGGCAGAGAGAGGAGAGAGAGAAUCCCAAGAGGGAGAAUCUCCAUGCUGUCAGUGCAGAGUCCAAUGGGGGGGCUCGAUCUCACGAAGAGUGAGGUCAUGACCUGAGCCCAAAUCAAGAGUCAGGUGCUUAACCGACUGAGCCAUCCACGUGUCCCUCUCUUCAUCUUUUUCUUUUUUUAAAAAAUAUUUUUAAAAAUGUUUAUUUAUUUUUGAGAGAGAGAAAGACAGAGCGUGAGCAGGGGAGGGGCAGAGAGAGAGGGAGACACAGAAUCGGAAGCAGGCUCCCGGCUCUGAGCUGUCAGCGCAGAGCCUGGCGUGGGGCUCGAACCCACGAACUGUGAAAUCAUGACCUGAGCCAAAGACGGACGCUUCACCGGCCCUUUCAUCUUUUUCUAAGCUGCCACUUUCCUUAGCUCAUUCUAAAAAUCUGUCUGUCUGUCUAUCUAUAUUUUUUCAGGAACUGGCUCAUGUGACGGUGGAGGCUUGGCAAAUCCAAAAUCUGCCGGGUAAUACGUCAGGCUGGAGACUCGGGGAGGCGUUGUGGUUCGAGUUCAAAAGCGGUCUGCUGAUAGAAUUCUUUCUUGCUCAAGAGAGGUCAGUCUCUUCUGCCAAGGCCUUUGACUGACUGGAUGAGGCCCACCCACAUUGGGGAAGGCAAUAUGCUUUCCUCAGAGUUCCGUGAUUUAAACGGCAGUCUCACCCCCCGCCAAACAGCCUCACGGAAACAUCCAG
Molecule: long non-coding RNA, 8956 nt
Filed under: Lynx pardinus (Iberian lynx)
Lineage: Eukaryota; Metazoa; Chordata; Mammalia; Carnivora; Felidae
Source: RNAcentral